This 495-nucleotide ribosomal RNA is filed under the name uncultured bacterium. RNAcentral describes it as "partial 16S ribosomal RNA". It matches the Rfam family "Bacterial small subunit ribosomal RNA", at positions 29 to 506 of the family's 1533-position model. The record is from RNAcentral.
AUGAACGCUGGCGGCGUGCCUAAUCCCUGCAAGUCGAGCGAACAGACGAGGAGCUUGCUCCUCUGACGUUAGCGGCGGACGGGUGAGUAACACGUGGAUAACCUACCUAUAAGACUGGGAUAACUUCGGGAAACCGGAGCUAAUACCGGAUAAUAUAUUGAACCGCAUGGUUCAAUAGUGAAAGACGGUUUUGCUGUCACUUAUAGAUGGAUCCGCGCCGCAUUAGCUAGUUGGUAAGGUAACGGCUUACCAAGGCAACGAUGCGUAGCCGACCUGAGAGGGUGAUCGGCCACACUGGAACUGAGACACGGUCCAGACUCCUACGGGAGGCAGCAGUAGGGAAUCUUCCGCAAUGGGCGAAAGCCUGACGGAGCAACGCCGCGUGAGUGAUGAAGGUCUUCGGAUCGUAAAACUCUGUUAUUAGGGAAGAACAAAUGUGUAAGUAACUAUGCACGUCUUGACGGUACCUAAUCAGAAAGCCACGGCUAACUACGU